GCAAACAGGAUUAGAUACCCUGGUAGUCCACGCCGUAAACGAUGUCGACUUGGAGGUUGUGCCCUUGAGGCGUGGCUUCCGGAGCUAACGCGUUAAGUCGACCGCCUGGGGAGUACGGCCGCAAGGUUAAAACUCAAAUGAAUUGACGGGGGCCCGCACAAGCGGUGGAGCAUGUGGUUUAAUUCGAUGCAACGCGAAGAACCUUACCUGGCCUUGACAUCCAGAGAACUUAGCAGAGAUGCUUUGGUGCCUUCGGGAACUCUGAGACAGGUGCUGCAUGGCUGUCGUCAGCUCGUGUUGUGAAAUGUUGGGUUAAGUCCCGCAACGAGCGCAACCCUUAUCCUUUGUUGCCAGCGGUUCGGCCGGGAACUCAAAGGAGACUGCCGGUGAUAAACCGGAGGAAGGUGGGGAUGACGUCAAGUCAUCAUGGCCCUUACGGCCAGGGCUACACACGUGCUACAAUGGCGCAUACAAAGAGAAGCGACCUCGCGAGAGCAAGCGGACCUCAUAAAGUGCGUCGUAGUCCGGAUUGGAGUCUGCAACUCGACUCCAUGAAGUCGGAAUCGCUAGUAAUCGUAGAUCAGAAUGCUACGGUGAAUACGUUCCCGGGCCUUGUACACACCGCCCGUCACACCAUGGGAGUGGGUUGCAAAAGAAGUAGGUAGCUUAACCUUCGGGAGGGCGC
This 685-nucleotide ribosomal RNA is filed under the name Pantoea sp. RNAcentral describes it as "bacterial SSU rRNA". It matches the Rfam family "Bacterial small subunit ribosomal RNA", at positions 768 to 1453 of the family's 1533-position model. The record is from RNAcentral. Lineage: Bacteria; Pseudomonadati; Pseudomonadota; Gammaproteobacteria; Enterobacterales; Erwiniaceae.